GGGGAAUAUUGCACAAUGGGCGAAAGCCUGAUGCAGCAACGCCGCGUGAGCGAUGAAGGCCUUCGGGUCGUAAAGCUCUGUCCUUGGGGAAGAAGGAAGUGACGGUACCUAAUGAGGAAGCCCCGGCUAACUACGUGCCAGCAGCCGCGGUAAUACGUAGGGGGCGAGCGUUGUCCGGAAUUACUGGGCGUAAAGGGUGCGUAGGUGGCGAUUUAAGUUGGAUGUGAAAUACCCGGGCUUAACCUGGGGGGUGCAUUCAAAACUGGAUGGCUAGAGUGCAGGAGAGGGAAGCGGAAUUCCUAGUGUAGCGGUGAAAUGCGUAGAUAUUAGGAGGAACACCAGUGGCGAAGGCGGCUUUCUGGACUGUAACUGACACUGAGGCACGAAAGCGUGGGGAGCAAACA
RNAcentral lists this ribosomal RNA (404 nucleotides) under uncultured Eubacteriales bacterium. Its description in RNAcentral is "bacterial SSU rRNA". It matches the Rfam family "Bacterial small subunit ribosomal RNA", at positions 356 to 774 of the family's 1533-position model. The record is from RNAcentral. Lineage: Bacteria; Bacillati; Bacillota; Clostridia; Eubacteriales.